Molecule: ribosomal RNA, 497 nt
Filed under: uncultured bacterium
Lineage: Bacteria
Description: partial 16S ribosomal RNA
Rfam family: Bacterial small subunit ribosomal RNA
Source: RNAcentral
GAUGAACGCUGGCAGCGUGCCUAAUACAUGCAAGUUGAGCGAACGGACGAGAAGCUUGCUUCUCUGAUGUUAGCGGCGGACGGGUGAGUAACACGUGGAUAACCUACCUAUAAGACUGGGAUAACUUCGGGAAACCGGAGCUAAUACCGGAUAAUAUUUUGAACCGCAUGGUUCAAAAGUGAAAGACGGUCUUGCUGUCACUUAUAGAUGGAUCCGCGCUGCAUUAGCUAGUUGGUAAGGUAACGGCUUACCAAGGCAACGAUGCAUAGCCGACCUGAGAGGGUGAUCGGCCACACUGGAACUGAGACACGGUCCAGACUCCUACGGGAGGCAGCAGUAGGGAAUCUUCCGCAAAGGGCGAAAGCCUGACGGAGCAACGCCGCGUGAGUGAUGAGGGUCUUCGGAUCGUAAAACUCUGUUAUUAGGGAAGAACAUAUGUGUAAGUAACUGUGCACAUCUUGACGGUACCUAAUCAGAAAGCCACGGCUAACUACGUG